Molecule: ribosomal RNA, 396 nt
Filed under: uncultured Blastocladiomycota
Lineage: Eukaryota; Fungi; Blastocladiomycota
Description: partial small subunit ribosomal RNA
Rfam family: Eukaryotic small subunit ribosomal RNA
Source: RNAcentral
GCUUGUCUCAAAGAUUAAGCCAUGCAUGUCUAAGUAUAAGUAGUAUACAGCGAAACUGCGAAUGGCUCAUUAAAACAGUUAUAGUUUAUUCGAUAGUAAAAUUACAUGGAUAACCGUGGUAAAUCUAUGGCUAAUACAUGCGCAAAGGCCCGACCCUGAAGGGCUGUAUUUAUUAGAUACAAAACCAACCCGGGCAACCGGUCCUUUGGUGAUUCAUGAUAACUUUGCGAAUCGCAUAGCUUUAAUGCUGGCGAUGGGUCAUUCAAAUUUCUGCCCUAUCAACUUUCGACGGUAGGAUAGAGGCCUACUGUGGUGAUAACGGGUAACGAAGAAUAAGGGUUCGAUUUCGGAGAGGGAGCCUGAGAAACGGCUACCACAUCCAAGGAAGGCAGCAGG